UACGAAGGGGGCUAGCGUUGCUCGGAAUCACUGGGCGUAAAGCGCACGUAGGCGGAUUGCUAAGUCAGGGGUGAAAUCCUGGAGCUCAACUCCAGAACUGCCUUUGAUACUGGCGACCUUGAGUCCGGGAGAGGUGAGUGGAACUGCGAGUGUAGAGGUGAAAUUCGUAGAUAUUCGCAAGAACACCAGUGGCGAAGGCGGCUCACUGGCCCGGUACUGACGCUGAGGUGCGAAAGCGUGGGGAGCAAAGCAGG
RNAcentral lists this ribosomal RNA (254 nucleotides) under uncultured bacterium. RNAcentral's name for it is "partial 16S ribosomal RNA". It matches the Rfam family "Bacterial small subunit ribosomal RNA", at positions 524 to 777 of the family's 1533-position model. The record is from RNAcentral.